Molecule: ribosomal RNA, 462 nt
Filed under: uncultured bacterium
Lineage: Bacteria
Description: partial 16S ribosomal RNA
Rfam family: Bacterial small subunit ribosomal RNA
Source: RNAcentral
GACGAACGCUGGCGGCGUGCUUAACACAUGCAAGUCGAGCGGUAAGGCCUUUCGGGGUACACGAGCGGCGAACGGGUGAGUAACACGUGGGCGAUCUGCCCUGCACUUCGGGAUAAGCCUGGGAAACUGGGUCUAAUACUGGAUAUGACCUCCUAUCGCAUGGUGGGUGGUGGAAAGAUUUAUCGGUGCAGGAUGGGCCCGCGGCCUAUCAGCUUGUUGGUGGGGUAAUGGCCUACCAAGGCGACGACGGGUAGCCGACCUGAGAGGGUGACCGGCCACACUGGGACUGAGACACGGCCCAGACUCCUACGGGAGGCAGCAGUGGGGAAUAUUGCACAAUGGGCGGAAGCCUGAUGCAGCAACGCCGCGUGAGGGAUGACGGCCUUCGGGUUGUAAACCUCUUUCAGCAGGGACGAAGCGCAAGUGACGGUACCUGCAGAAGAAGCACCGGCUAACUACGUG